CAUAAAUAUGCUCCUAUCAAAUUCCCCCACACUUAGCUUUUGCUAGUCCUCGAGCAAAACAAAGAAACAAAACGAAACAAAACAAACAAUCAACACAUAACCUAAACCUUCCAACGUUUGCCUCAGGGAUUCCCAAUGCACAUGACAUAUUAAAAAUCAUCAUUCCCACAGAUUUUAGUCAUCUUCACACUUAAGCAUAUACUUAAUCAUAGUCACCACAUACUAGUUCACAUUUAACCAAUUAAAACAUGAUUUUGAAUGUAGUAACAUGCCUUAGAGAAUUUGCUCAAUUCCUUACUAGAUAUGCACUCAAUUUUCACACAGAUUUUCUAACUCCACACCCUAUACUAGUUAUAUGUGAGAAGAUUGAUGUAAAUAUGAAAACGAACGCUCACAUAUAUGUAUAACAAAGGAAGCAUUUUCUGGAUUUAAGAAGCAUUUAGAUACGAUCUCAUGAAUGGAAUGCUACUACUUAGAUGCGAGAACCAAGGAUAUCAUAUGCUCAUACCAAUUCCAAACUCCACAUAUUGAAACACAUAACAAUCAAGAUAGAAGCAAAGGGUUGUAACGGGGCUAAGGUAUUGGCUAACAAAGAAAGGGUAGGAUAAACAAACAUUCUUAAAGAAUAAUAAGCAAAGUAAUGAAAUUGACACUUAGAAUUCACUUUUGCAUGCAAAAAUCAAUUUUGAAACACAAGGGGAAGACUCAUGCAACACUUAGGACCAAAUUCAAGCUUUUUGGACCCUUUCUUCAACAACCAACACUUUAGAGCUUCUUUUCACACAUUUUUCAACUCUUCUUCAUUCUUUUCA
This 812-nucleotide long non-coding RNA is filed under the name Malus domestica (apple). RNAcentral's name for it is "long non-coding RNA (MDOM_LNC014955)". The record is from RNAcentral. Lineage: Eukaryota; Viridiplantae; Streptophyta; Magnoliopsida; Rosales; Rosaceae.